AUAUUUCUGGUAAUUUCUGACAAGACCCGACUGGCAACACUGCAAAUAAUCACUAGUGGUCAUACGCCAACGUCACUCGCCCGAAGCCAUAAAAAAGAAAACAAAAACUUCCGGUUCCGGAAGAAAAAACAGCCAAGUGUUUUGCACUUUUGCAGCAUACUCUCUAAUUUGUGUUUUGCAGUGCACAAAAUCAGUGGUAGAACGUAGAACCUACAAGUUUUUUUGUUUUGCACGGUGUUUUAUUUAAUAAACGCUUCUGUUGUGCGAAUUGGACGCGUGACGUGCUGAAGAUUAAAGACUUUGCAUAAUGGAAUCAAAAAAAUUUUUUUUGGUUACAUUUUUAGAUGAAGAUGAUGCUCCUGGCAUAGUUUCAUCAAAGUGGUUAAGAUACCAACACUUGUUAUUACCCUAAUGUAUGCACUGAAGAAAUCAAAAACAAACUUGAAGAAGAUGCCUGCACCUGAAGCAACAUGGUCACAAUAUCAAAUAAAAAUACUUAAAAGUUAUGAAACUUAUGGUGAAGCACGAUUACAUUUAAAAAAAGCGGAAGAAACCUGAAAUUUGGACUCAGACGAAGCAGAAAAUGAUGUUACAAAUGAAGUGACAGUGGACAUAAUGUCUGCUGUAAAUUACCCAGUCACCUCCGGUUCUAAAGAGGCCAAGCAAACACAACUCAAAGCUGUUAACUGCCAAUCAGAGUGCAUUACAAACAAGCAAUAUGCUAUACAGCAGAGUCAUAUGAUUCAGAUUGUGUCAGACCUAGCUAACCAAAUGGCUGAAAUCAAUAGAAAAUUGGAUUUACCGUUAGCUAGGUCCGAAGAAACAUUUUCACCAACAGAUGACAAUGCAGGUCUUUCAGAACUUUUGGCAAGUCUACCAGUAAAGAUAUUGCAAGUUUUAAUAAUUUCGAUGACCAUUUAAAAAUAAACAAGAAUACAGGCAAUAAUGUCAUUUUUGUCUGGUAUUGGCGGCAGAAAUGUAAGAAGCCUUACGACUAAUAUGUUGAGACGAAUAAUUCUAGAUGAUGUAGCCGAGUUGUAUUCGUUAACUGGGAAACAGAUGAAAAAUUUGAAUAAAAAGUCAUUUAUGAGUACAGAAACCUAUAAAUUAAUCUUUCAAAUAUGUAGAAAAAUCAACGAAGAUGUAACUGAAGACAGUCUAAAAGAAAUUAUAAGUGAUUGGCUAAAUCAAGCUAAAGUUAGACUUUCAAGAAGAGCAGAAACACAAAAUAAAGAAAAAAACCAAUAGCGGCGACCAUGAAACCGAUUUUUUCUCAUUUAAAGUAAGAUAAGAUAAAAGUAUAAAUAAUAAAAAAAUAUAUGUUA
Ostrinia nubilalis (European corn borer) is the source of this 1325-nucleotide long non-coding RNA. RefSeq lists it as uncharacterized. The record is from RefSeq and is a predicted model, not a curated record. NCBI's taxonomy places the organism in Eukaryota, Metazoa, Arthropoda, Insecta, Lepidoptera, Crambidae. The transcript has 7 exons.